GGGUGCAUGGCGCAGCGGUAGCGCGCCUCAUUCGCGAGCAGGUUUUGAGGCGGUCUGGGGUUCAAAUCCUCAUGCAUCCA
Tulasnella sp. 403 is the source of this 80-nucleotide non-coding RNA. The record is from the annotation of a GenBank genome assembly. NCBI's taxonomy places the organism in Eukaryota, Fungi, Basidiomycota, Agaricomycetes, Cantharellales, Tulasnellaceae.